This is a non-coding RNA of Microcebus murinus (gray mouse lemur), 608 nucleotides long. The record is from RefSeq and is a predicted model, not a curated record. Lineage: Eukaryota; Metazoa; Chordata; Mammalia; Primates; Cheirogaleidae.
GACUAAACAGCCCCUUAUUGGGGAGGUCUCUUUUUAGACCUCCAAGAUCAAACUCUUGGCUGUUUGUCACUUCAUGGUAAGAGGAUGAAGCAUGCAGGAGGGCCUCUUGAGCUGCAGUAAAAGGCUGCUUCCCAUGAAUCCACGUAAAACGAGAACCAAAAGUUUUGAAUUUUCUGCACAACAUCAGGGCUUGGAUGUUGAAUAUUUGCUGAGGCCCCUACAGUGUUGCAAUUAAAAGUCGCCUUCUUUGACUUGGAAUUGAAAGUCUGACUUUACAAGUUAUUUCAUCAGAUCCCAAAGAAACUAACUGCCAUUUCUAUCACUGAAGUCUCAAUAAACAUCACUGUGCAAUGGCCUAGCGACCAGUGGGAGGAGUGUCUGUCCCACGAAUUCCUACCACAUCCAGAAUAAAGAAGUGGGAAUAUGGUCGAAAUUUUCCUUUGUUUCUCCCAGAAAAAAAAAAAAAAAAGGUAGUUUCCACUGAGCAGUUAGCUUGUUUUUGUCUUAUGGACAGUGAAUCGUGUAACCAACCAUGUUUCCUUCUUUGUUUUGGCUGUUAGGUAGCUCACAACUAAUUGGGAUCCAUCUCGAUCAACUCCAUUAAACUC